Molecule: ribosomal RNA, 1496 nt
Filed under: uncultured organism
Description: SSU rRNA
Rfam family: Bacterial small subunit ribosomal RNA
Source: RNAcentral
GGCUCAGGACGAACGCUGGCGGCAUGCCUAACACAUGCAAGUCGAACGGGGUUUUCUAAACGGAGUCCUUCGGGACGAAGUUUUUAAAACCUAGUGGCGGACGGGUGAGUAACGCGUGGGUAACGUACCUUUUAGUGGGGAACAACAGUGAGAAAUUACUGCUAAUACCGCAUACGGUCAUCUUGCCGCAUGGUGAGAUGAAGAAAGACGGCCUCUCGACGAAGCUGUCGCUAAAAGAUCGACCCGCGUCUGAUUAGCUAGUUGGUGAGGUAACGGCUCACCAAGGCGACGAUCAGUAGCCGGCCUGAGAGGGUGAACGGCCACAUUGGGACUGAGACACGGCCCAAACUCCUACGGGAGGCAGCAGUGGGGAAUCUUCCGCAAUGGGCGAAAGCCUGACGGAGCAAUGCCGCGUGAACGAAGAAGGUCUUCGGAUUGUAAAGUUCUGUCCUUAUCGAAGAGAGGUAUAUGGAGUAACUGCCAUAUGCAGGACGGUAGAUGAGGAGGAAGCCCCGGCUAACUACGUGCCAGCAGCCGCGGUAAUACGUAGGGGGCAAGCGUUGUCCGGAAUCACUGGGCGUAAAGGGCGCGUAGGCGGCAAUAUAAGUCAGAUGUGAAAGGUGAGGGCUCAGCCCUUAGACUGCAUCUGAUACUGUAUAGCUUGAGUGUGAGAGAGGAAAGCGGAAUUCCUAGUGUAGCGGUGAAAUGCGUAGAUAUUAGGAGGAACACCAGUGGCGAAGGCGGCUUUCUGGCUCAUAACUGACGCUGAGGCGCGAAAGCGUGGGGAGCAAACAGGAUUAGAUACCCUGGUAGUCCACGCCGUAAACGAUGGGUACUAGGUGUUAGGGGUUUCGAUGCCCUUAGUGCCGGAGUAAACACAAUAAGUACCCCGCCUGGGGAGUACGGUCGCAAGACUGAAACUCAAAGGAAUUGACGGGGGCCCGCACAAGCGGUGGAGCAUGUGGUUUAAUUCGACGCAACGCGAAGAACCUUACCAAGACUUGACAUCUCCCUGACCGGACUUGUAAUGAGUCCUUUCCUUCGGGACAGGGAUGACAGGUGGUGCAUGGUUGUCGUCAGCUCGUGUCGUGAGAUGUUGGGUUAAGUCCCGCAACGAGCGCAACCCCUGUUGCUAGUUGCCAGCAUUAAGUUGGGCACUCUAGUGAGACUGCCAGUGACAAACUGGAGGAAGGUGGGGAUGACGUCAAAUCAUCAUGCCCCUUAUGUCUUGGGCUACACACGUGCUACAAUGGGUGGUACAAAGGGAAGCGAAGCCGCGAGGUGGAGCCAAUCCCCCAAAGCCACUCCCAGUUCGGAUUGCAGGCUGCAACCCGCCUGCAUGAAGUCGGAAUCGCUAGUAAUCGCAGGUCAGCAUACUGCGGUGAAUACGUUCCCGGGCCUUGUACACACCGCCCGUCACACCACGAAAGUUGGUAACACCCGAAGCCGGUGGUCUAACCGCAAGGAGGAAGCCGUCGAAGGUGGGAUCAAUGAUU